RNAcentral lists this ribosomal RNA (429 nucleotides) under uncultured Lysobacteraceae bacterium. RNAcentral describes it as "bacterial SSU rRNA". It matches the Rfam family "Bacterial small subunit ribosomal RNA", at positions 355 to 776 of the family's 1533-position model. The record is from RNAcentral. Lineage: Bacteria; Pseudomonadati; Pseudomonadota; Gammaproteobacteria; Lysobacterales; Lysobacteraceae.
UGGGGAAUAUUGGACAAUGGGCGCAAGCCUGAUCCAGCAAUGCCGCGUGGGUGAAGAAGGCCUUCGGGUUGUAAAGCCCUUUUGUACGGGAAGAAAUCAUCCGGGUUAAUACCCUGGGUGGAUGACGGUACCGUAAGAAUAAGCACCGGCUAACUUCGUGCCAGCAGCCGCGGUAAUACGAAGGGUGCAAGCGUUAAUCGGAAUUACUGGGCGUAAAGCGUGCGUAGGUGGUUGUUCAAGUCUGUCGUGAAAGCCCUGGGCUCAACCUGGGAAUGGCGAUGGAAACUGGGCGACUGGAGUGCGGUAGAGGAUGGCGGAAUUCCCGGUGUAGCGGUGAAAUGCGUAGAGAUCGGGAGGAACAUCCGUGGCGAAGGCGGCCAUCUGGACCAGCACUGACACUGAGGCACGAAAGCGUGGGGAGCAAACAGG